Molecule: long non-coding RNA, 1004 nt
Filed under: Marmota monax (woodchuck)
Lineage: Eukaryota; Metazoa; Chordata; Mammalia; Rodentia; Sciuridae
Source: RNAcentral
GGGAAACCUUAGCUAAUUUAAAAAACCCAAGCUAUUUAAAGUAUUUUAUAUAUUUAGAUUAAGUUAUAAUAAAAUGGAAUAUUCAAAUUUAAAAGUUGGUUAGCAAAAUAUAUUGCAAAGUCAAACUUGAGGAAAUCUUAACAGAUAAAAGGUAAGAGAUUAAUAUCCACAAAAUAUAAAGGAUUCUUAGGAGGUAGGAAGAAAUAAUCCAAAAGAAAAAUAGAUGAAGGAUAUCACAAGGCAGUUCAGAAAAAAAGCAAAUUCAAGUGGCCCAUAAACAUUAAAGGAUGCUUUAGUAGCCAGAGAAAUGCAUUCCAAAUACCUCAGAGCCUAAUACAUAGACAAAAAUUUAUAGAGAGAACUCCACAGUCCCACUAAGCAGGUAAAAGGGCAAGAAAUGGGUCAUAUAUUGCUGGUGGAAGUGUAGAUUGUAGAGCAUUUGGGUAAGCCAAAAUUUAAUAUGCUAUCUGCUAAUAUCUAUUAAAAUUCACAAUAUGUGUAUUUGACCCAGCAAUCCUACUCCUGCUAUCUACACUAAAGAAAUAAAAUGUUAUGUACCAAGAUUACUUACUGCCACACUAAAACAAAACAAAAAAUCAAAUUAAUUCCAUCAAUAGAAAUAAUAAUUGAAUAAAUUAUGAUUCCUGCAUACCAUAGAACUUAUGUGGUUCUUAAAAACAUUGGAUGUUUAAAGGUUGACUUACAGGAAAUCCCACAAGGUAUCUUAAGUGAACAAAGCAAAAUACAGAGAAAGAUGGUUAUGUGUGUAUAUGUGUGUGUUAUAUAAAUAUAUGAAUCUGGAAAAGGUAAUGAGGUAUACUUACCAGAUCAUUAUGAAUUACCUGGUGUGGUAUUAUAGGAAGGGAGUUAUGAGGAAGUGAAGGGGAUCCAAAAGUGAAAGAAGAAAAGCAAAGUACAGCAGUAGGAAGAAAAAAAAAGUGCAAAGGAACAUAGAAAGUCACCAUUUUCAGUAAUAGUAAAAAACAUUUGCUGGAAUAUAGAUU